GAAUUAUCAAACACUUCUAUAAAUGAUGACUUAGCUUACAACAAGUUCUGUGUACGCCACUAUCAAACCUUUUAUUUAAAUAAAUACUACAAACAACUCUUUGAAGUAAAAUGAGUUAUUUUCCAAUGGAGAAGUAAUUGAUGAUGAGCCAGAGCCAAAGCAAAAGCAAAAGCUCAAGAGUUCAUUCUAGCUGAUAAACUGAAAUGAAAGACAUGAGAACACUUCCCAUCCAAAGCUUCCCAUCCCUCUCCUCUACCUCGCUGACAGCUCUAACGACUUUCCCUUGUCGAUCUUCCAAUAUCUGCAACAGCUUGCCCUCGGGGCUGUACUUCACGACAACUGCAGUGAACCUGCCACCAAUGUGAAUGAGGUAUUGGAGCUUUGCAGAGAUGGGAAGCUUCAGCAAGAAUUGACGGAGUCGAGGGUAUAUGCCAUUUAUGUAACUGUAAAUGGUACGACGACAGUGGAUUGCUACCCAAAACUCAUUUCUUUCGUUUGCUCUUACGUUGUCUGGAUAUCCAGGGAGGAUUGCUAUUACCUCUGAUGUACCGGCUUUCUCACCUUUCAGCCAGUACUUUCGUAACCUGCCCUUGGAACCUUCGCAAAAUAUAAAGAAGGAACCAUCCUUGCUUAGUGACAGACCAUUUGGAAAUUGAAGGUUGCGAAUAAGAAUAGUGGUUUCUUUCGUCCUAGGAUUGUAUUUGAGAACCUUCCCACUAUCUUCUGCUGAGAAAACCAGCUGUAUAAAAUUCCUGCGUUGGUACUUUGUGCUGCUAUCCGUAAAAUAAACAUUCCCUUCAUCAUCAACAUCCAAGUCAUUUGCAAAUCCUAUAGGUACCCCCUCAGCCUCAGUUGUCAAAGAUUCUGCUAAUCCACCUUCAGGGCCUACCUUCAUUAACCCCAAAUAUGCAUCGGCAAUAUAUAAGUCACCUGUUCUUUUGUCAAAUCGUAACCCCAAAGGCCUACCACAGAUGUGCUCGUACUUCCUAUAGCUCAACGCUGACGGUUUUGGAUCACACAAGCCUGACCUAUUAGCUGAAGUAGAAGCAAAAUCAUUCCAUUUUUCACCAUCCCAAAACACAACUCUUCCAUCAGCUAUCCCUGUAUAAGGUCCUCUACCCUGAGGAUCAAAAACAAUACUUUCUGGCCCCUGAAUUUGAUCCAAGAACUUAACUUCAGAUUUCUGAAGCAAAUUUUGUGAAUCUUUUUCAACUGGGAUUUCAGACCAAGCUGGCAUCUCAACCUUAAAAGACUCAAAAUUUGGGAACUCAGAAAUUGCACUAUGCUUAAAAGGGUCCAACCCACAAUACACUGCCAACACAAGGAACACUCCACCAAAUACUGAAACUGCUCUCAUUUUCUUGAUAAAAAUUGAAACUUUAUGAUAAUGGGGUUUGAGUAAAGGGAAAAUCUUGAAAUGGGGUUGAAAAUUUUGGAAUUAUAGUAUACCCCAAUAGAAGAAUUGUGAAAGAAUGUUUGCUAUCUAACAAGGUACAAUGAAAAAUUUUCUUGAAAAAAUAAUAGAGUGGUGUAC
This 1534-nucleotide unclassified non-coding RNA is filed under the name Hevea brasiliensis (rubber tree). The record is from RNAcentral. Lineage: Eukaryota; Viridiplantae; Streptophyta; Magnoliopsida; Malpighiales; Euphorbiaceae.